CACAAGAACGCACUACAGCGUCCCCAAUCACUAGUGCUCUAGUGAGGGAGAGUUUAACUGGCGCCCGAGCAGGGACCCACAUUCUUCACGGAAAUAAAGGGAAAUGGUGACGUGUCAAUAAUUAUACUAAAAUAACUUAUUAGAAAAGCAAGUACAAAUUAAUUGUUCCAAUCCAAUUGGGCAAUUGUUGGGAUAAUUACGAAGAACUUUUGUGAUUUGCAAACAAGUGUUGCUGCACUAGAGAAUUCUAUAACAGAAAAGAAAUCGUGGCUAAAUAGUGGUAUUGGCAAUACCUAGGUUCAAAUCCGUGCCGAGACGAUUCUAAAACGAAA
Molecule: long non-coding RNA, 332 nt
Organism: Drosophila navojoa
Lineage: Eukaryota; Metazoa; Arthropoda; Insecta; Diptera; Drosophilidae
Source: RefSeq, a predicted model, not a curated record